Molecule: long non-coding RNA, 223 nt
Filed under: Nicotiana benthamiana
Lineage: Eukaryota; Viridiplantae; Streptophyta; Magnoliopsida; Solanales; Solanaceae
Description: long non-coding RNA (NBEN_LNC007062)
Source: RNAcentral
UUCAUUUAAUAUGAAAAAGAGGGAGUAGUAUAUUUUGUGAGCAACUCAACUAAUUUCAUGGAUACUUACCGCCUGAUAUUAGUAUAUACUCCCUUCGUUUCAUAUUAUUUGAGAUAGUUUGACUCGGCAAGAAAUUUAAGAAAAAAAGAAGAAGAUUUUUGGAACUUGUUGUCUUAUGGGAUAAAUUGUUUGUGGGACUAAAACUUCUCAUUAAGGAUAAAAA